GCGAGUCCCCGCCCCGUUGGGGACGCGGCUGACGCCCGGACGCGCUCGGAGGCGGCUCAGGAAUUGAAAGCCGAGCCCCGGCCGGUGAACCAGAGGAAACUCGCGGGAGGCUGGGGGAGGCCGGACGAGGAGCAGCAAGAAGGGUGUAUGGCUGCACAGCAUGAAACAGAAGAACAGAGGCCAGAUCCCAUAUGACUUUGAAGACCAAAGUCUUGAGUGACAGCUCUCCCCGAAGAUCCUCUGAGGAGGAAGACAAAGCAGGGUGUACAUGAGAGACAAAGACGCUAUCUGUCCAGCAAUGACAGAGACAUCAAGACAUCACCUCCUCUGACAUUUAUAGUCCCACUGGCUCUCUCACUCUCCAGAUACCCCAGAAGCCAAGAGUCAAAGUGCAGAUGCUGGGCCAAGCUGGAGUGGGUAAGGGGCAGUAUCCUAACUCUGUCUCUUCCUACUUUCUCCUCCUUUUCCUGGAGCUAAGCUAAGCUGAGCUCUCCCUCCUCACUUCCUCUUUCUGCUCACAAUACUUUACCCUAUCCAUCCAUCCAUCUUCAGGGAAACUUCAUGCCCUUGGUGGGGGUGUGAGGGCCUGGAUAUAUUUGCCACUACAGCCUCCUCACAUUAAUCUGGUCUAGACACACCCCAGCUCCUGUUUUCUCACACAACUUCUGGAAAGGCACAUCCUCAGGACCCCAAACUACCAGAAAUAUACCACCACCCACGUUGUAUGGCCCAGCGCUCCCCCACGCUCCCACAGGCCCUUACCUUUGAAUUUCUUGAGCAGCCCCUUUAAGACAAAGGUCUUGAGGGAAACAUUCCAGACUUUAUUCUUCAUCUCGGAAGAGACUGUGGUUGGCUUGGGGCUUGGCACAUUGCUGCACCUAUAGGAUGAGACCCAGAAGGAGCCCAUAAACACUGCACUUCCACCAGGCUGUGACAAUUAGGAUGGCAAGGUCUUCUUGGUGAGGAAAGUUAGAAAAAGGAGAGCCUGAUUUCAAGUCAGAAUGAACACCCAUGGCCCAGAAGGUACGUAAAGCAGUGUAUGAGGGCUGGAAGCGGUGUUAGGUGAGCAACUGUUGGAGGCAUGGCAGUGAAAGACAACUCAAUGAAAAAGGAGAAAAGGCAGCUUGGAGAGGCCCAAGGAAUUCUUAGGUCCACUCACCUGUUCAGUGUGUUUUUGAAUUCCUGGAGAGAAAAAUGAAAGAAAACCGUAUUAACAUCAGGUAAACUAUAUUCACCUUUGAAACUAGUUCCUUGUCCUGUUUCCAGGGCUAUCAGCAAGAAACACUUGUACUAACCAUCCCCCACCAGCCUUGGCCUAAGAGGCAUUGGCUUCCCACUAUGGCUGGUCACUGGGUCUCUCAACAUGGUGACCCUGCUGCAGCUCUACAAAUGCUCCCUUCAUUACAGAAUCAUUCCUGAGCCAGGUGCUGGAGCCCUCUGUACUUGACUCCAACCAAAACAAGUCACAAUCCUUAUGCAAUGACUGGUCACUCUGGCUAGCACCUAAUGAUUGUUCUUGACCCAUUUGUGAUGUGUGAAGUUUAGUAGAUUGUGACUAUGUUUAAAUGAAAUAGAAAACAUCAAAGUUCAUAACAUGUAGUAGAGGUACAGAGAAGUUUCUGAGACUUUUGUCUCAAGUGUGUAUACACUGAAGAAUGAUGCAAAAUAUAUUAUGGUUCAUGGUCAAGAAAGUUUUACCACAUUCCUUUAGAGAUCUAACCCAAGAAAUCCAGGGCACUUUGCUCGAGUCCUCUUUGGUUUUUGAUUAUGUGAUUCUAUUAAACUCACAGGAUCUCACUCUGUUAGGCUGCUGUUUGCAAAGACUCAGGUCAAGGUAGACUCACCUGAAGGCAGUCAAGGUCAGGCUUUCGCGUUGUCUCCUGGAUCUGGCUACUCAGCUUGGAGAGCUGGGCAAUCUCACUCCCCAGCUGGGCCAGGUUCUCAUUCUGCUUCUGUGUCACCUCCCGUGAUACCUCCUCCAGGCGGCCCAGGAGCCUACCCUCCUGCUCCACCAGGAAGGCCCUCAGGGCCUGGAACUCUGCCCCUACCUUCUCUCGCUCUGCAGCCAUCUGCUUCUGUCCCAAGUAAGAAAAUUGAGAGGCAAGGGCACAUAAGCAUGGAGCAGUGGUGUUUGGGCAGGAGAUUCUGAGUUGUCCCAUGGGGCAGGGUUCCACCCCCCCUCUGCUAAGGGGUCAGAGAUUCACCCACAUAAGCCUGUCCACAGCAAACGCUUUCAUUUAAAUCCCCCAAAUCUGAGUAUGCAGCAGCUUCAACACAUGCUCUGGCCUCUCCUGUCACACUUGUCCCUGUCCUUGGGUGUCGGCUCUCCCACCAAUCUAGGGCCACUUCAAACUUGCCCCAGACCUACUUAGGCUGCUGUUUUCUCAUUUGAAAAGGGGAAAGAUUAAUCAAUGCCUCUAGGGGUGCCACUCCACUGAUUUAACUGAGGUCACUCUUUCUUCCUCAAACACACUUUGUGCCCAAAAUGGAGUUACGUACGUUAAGCCCCACAUCACCAAACCUAGACUUAGAUGCAGUUUCAGCUCUCCCAGAGAUAGACUCUUAAACCAGUCAAUCAGGAAUCAGCUUAUCAGCACUGGUUAGUUAGGUCAAUUGCCUGAUAAGCCCUUGCUAUAUCCUAUAGGGAAAGUAACCUUGCAAUAAUCAACCUGCCUUUUUGACUGGUGCAACUUCCUUGUUUCUGCCCCCUUCUGUCUAUAAAAUCUCUUGCCCUGUAAAACCCUUUGGAGCCCCUUCCUAUCUGUUAGAUAGGAUACUACCUGGUUCAUGAGUGGCUGGAUGAAGCUAAUAAAUCUCUAAAUUUUACUCAAUUGAAUUCAUUCUUUAACAUUCACCAACCCUCCUAUUUUCACUUUCUUAAAAAAAAAAAACUAUUCUAAAUAGACCUUUAUUGACCAGGGUGUGUUUUAGGAUUUAAAGGCUGAAUGGUCCAGGUCACAGGGACAUAAGUGAAGUCAACGGUAGGCUGCCUGACUACUGCUGGCAGCAGCCAUCAAGGAACAUGUAGUCUUUGCUUUUGUGGCAGUCAUCCUCUGGUCUCAGCCACCGUAGGAACCUGCUGGUGGUCAGACACCCACUUAUUCUCCACCAGGAUGCCCAAUCAGUUGCAGAGCCAGGUUCUAUGGGGCAGUGAGCUCCGUGUGGGGCAUCACCACUCUGCCCAGCAAGGCCAUCAUCUCUUCAUUAAUGAUUAUCAUGCUGAUGAUGGAGUGUCUGGCAGGAAGAUCCAGCUCAGACAGGGUUUCAGCAGAGCCUCCAAGUUGACUGUCAAGAUGCUGCUGAAGGUGAAGAGGCAGAUCUGCCAGUGACUCCUCCUGGAUCUUCCUAAACAUCAUGGUUUGAACUUCGCAAAGAUCCCACGCUUUGCUAUUCAUCUUCUUGUUGAUAACAAAAUGGUGUUAGGUCUCCAGUCAUCGAUUUUCAUGGCCUUGGAAGCAGUGACCAUGUAGACAGAUCCCCUCCAUUUUGCAACAACAACAAAAAACCUCCACUUGACUAAAAAUUAGU
Long non-coding RNA from Talpa occidentalis (Iberian mole), 3528 nucleotides. RefSeq lists it as uncharacterized. The transcript has 3 exons. The record is from RefSeq and is a predicted model, not a curated record. Lineage: Eukaryota; Metazoa; Chordata; Mammalia; Eulipotyphla; Talpidae.